GAAAUAUGAAGACCGAAUGUAAGCUGCUAACUUAACAUUCUAGCGGUUUAAUUCCGUUUAUAUUUCU
Molecule: transfer RNA, 67 nt
Filed under: Cyrtonotula maculosa
Lineage: Eukaryota; Metazoa; Arthropoda; Insecta; Blattodea; Blaberidae
Description: tRNA-Ser
Source: RNAcentral